AAGAAACACCUUCAAGCCACAUUAAGGAUAUGUACACAAAGACUUUUAUCUCCAUUUUGAUAAUGAGUACAAAAAUAAAAAUAUGAACUGGAAAGAGAUUGGAAAGCUGAAAGUUGCAAAGAUGCAGUAGUGGCAAACCCACUACAGUUCUGAUGCAGAUGCCAAAGGCUCUGUGCCCUUCAAUCCCAUUAUUAGAAGGAACCUCCUCUCUUAGACAUGAAAGAAGAGGCAGAGGAACCUACAGCAGGCAAGGCAAGCUUCACCCUAGAAUACGCAGUGGGAAAGUGAGAAGCAAGAUUUCUCUAAGUACUCCGUCCUCAUGGAUCCUCUAUGAUUGAAAGAAGACUUCAGUGAACUGAAGAGGCAUGACUCUUCAGUGACAGAAUCUGUAGGUUUACAGUAUUUCACAUGAUGUGGAUCCAGAGAAAACAAUCCAUUUCUUUGGAGCACCUCUGAAUUUCUCAUCUGCAUUGGAAAUCAUUGGCAAGCUAAAUCUCUGAUACCUGAAGCCCCAGCCUGGCACUAGCUGGAAAAGAGGUAAGUGUUUGGUCUCAUCCCGUAUCUAAUGUCCAGUAGACAUCUAAAUAUCAAACA
RNAcentral lists this long non-coding RNA (594 nucleotides) under Chrysolophus pictus (golden pheasant). Its description in RNAcentral is "lncRNA (ENSCPIG00010009014.1)". The record is from RNAcentral. Lineage: Eukaryota; Metazoa; Chordata; Aves; Galliformes; Phasianidae.